RNAcentral lists this ribosomal RNA (457 nucleotides) under uncultured bacterium. RNAcentral's name for it is "bacterial SSU rRNA". It matches the Rfam family "Bacterial small subunit ribosomal RNA", at positions 8 to 507 of the family's 1533-position model. The record is from RNAcentral.
AGAGUUUGAUCAUGGCUCAGAACGAACGCUGGCGGCAUGCUUAACACAUGCAGGUCGAACGGGAUGCUUCGGCAUUCAGUGGCGGACGGGUGAGUAACACGUGGGAACUUGUCCUCGGGUGGGGAACAACCGCUGGAAACGGCGGCUAAUACCGCAUGAACCCUGAGGGGCAAAGGCUUCGGCCGCCUGAGGAGGGGCCCGCGUCCGAUUAGCUUGUUGGUGGGGUAACGGCCUACCAAGGCGUCGAUCGGUAGCUGGUCUGAGAGGACGAUCAGCCACACUGGGACUGAGACACGGCCCAGACUCCUACGGGAGGCAGCAGUGGGGAAUAUUGGACAAUGGGCGAAAGCCUGAUCCAGCAAUGCCGCGUGAGUGAUGAAGGCCUUAGGGUUGUAAAGCUCUUUCGCCUGAGACGAUGAUGACGGUAUCAGGAGAAGAAGCCCCGGCUAAUUCCGUG